RNAcentral lists this ribosomal RNA (507 nucleotides) under uncultured bacterium. Its description in RNAcentral is "bacterial SSU rRNA". It matches the Rfam family "Bacterial small subunit ribosomal RNA", at positions 15 to 518 of the family's 1533-position model. The record is from RNAcentral.
AAUCCUGGCUCAGGAUGAACGCUAGCGGCAGGCCUAAUACAUGCAAGUCGAACGGGAUGGUCGCCUCGGGUGACUUGAGAGUGGCGCACGGGUGCGCAACGCGUAUGCAACCAACCCCCGACAGGCGGAUAGCCGGUGGAAACGCCGGAUAAUACGCCAUGGUUCCCAAACAGGGCAUCCUGGAUGGGAUAAAGCUUUUUGCGGUCGGGGACGGGCAUGCGUCCCAUUAGAUGGUAGGCGGGGUGACGGCCCACCUAGUCGACGAUGGGUAGGGGAUCUGAGAGGACGGUCCCCCACACUGGUACUGAGACACGGACCAGACUCCUGCGGGAGGCAGCAGUAAGGGAUAUUGGUCAAUGGCCGGAAGGCUGAACCAGCCAUGCCGCGUGAGGGAAUGAGGCCCUACGGGUCGUGAACCUCUUUUAUUCGGGGACAAGGACAACCACGGGAUGGUUGUUUGAGGGUACCGAAGGAAUAAGCAUCGGCUAACUCCGUGCCAGCAGCCGC